CCGGUAACAUAUAGCACAUAAUUUACUAUAUCUGGAUGACAAAUGGAAAAAUAUAGUUGGUGUGGUUUGCUUGGAUGAGCCAAUGAGAAACGACUCAAAGUUUUGGAGAGUUAACUAAGUCUUCCCCUUUAUUAUUUUGGUACACGACAAAAAUUAAAGCCAUGGAGAAGGAUAUGUUACCAAAAUUUUUCUUGCCUUUAUUAUGUCCUUUGGAAAAACAUGAGGAUCUGGAAUGGAUAAAAAAUGGUGCUAUGGAAUGAGAAAAUUUAUGUUGACAAGAAUAACUGAGUUCAUAGAGUAAAUAUGCAGGUGCUUGUACUUAUAAAUGAGGGAUUA
RNAcentral lists this long non-coding RNA (336 nucleotides) under Elaeis guineensis (African oil palm). Its description in RNAcentral is "long non-coding RNA (EGUI_LNC067472)". Lineage: Eukaryota; Viridiplantae; Streptophyta; Magnoliopsida; Arecales; Arecaceae. The record is from RNAcentral.